This 372-nucleotide ribosomal RNA is filed under the name uncultured organism. RNAcentral's name for it is "partial 16S ribosomal RNA". It matches the Rfam family "Bacterial small subunit ribosomal RNA", at positions 527 to 896 of the family's 1533-position model. The record is from RNAcentral.
GUAGGCGGCAAGCGUUGUCCGGAAUUAUUGGGCGUAAAGCGCGCGCAGGCGGUUCUUUAAGUCUGAUGUGAAAGCCCACGGCUCAACCGUGGAGGGUCAUUGGAAACUGGAGAACUUGAGUACAGAAGAGGAAAGCGGAAUUCCACGUGUAGCGGUGAAAUGCGUAGAGAUGUGGAGGAACACCAGUGGCGAAGGCGGCUUUCUGGUCUGUAACUGACGCUGAGGCGCGAAAGCGUGGGGAGCAAACAGGAUUAGAUACCCUGGUAGUCCACGCCGUAAACGAUGAGUGCUAAGUGUUAGGGGGGUUUCCGCCCCCCUUGUGCUGCAGCUAACGCAUUAAGCACUCCGCCUGGGAGUACGGCCGCAAGGCUG